Transfer RNA from Singulisphaera acidiphila DSM 18658, 89 nucleotides. It matches the Rfam family "tRNA". Rfam says of the family: Transfer RNA (tRNA) molecules are approximately 80 nucleotides in length. Their secondary structure includes four short double-helical elements and three loops (D, anti-codon, and T loops). NCBI's taxonomy places the organism in Bacteria, Pseudomonadati, Planctomycetota, Planctomycetia, Isosphaerales, Isosphaeraceae. The record is from Rfam.
GGAGAGGUGGCUGAGUGGUCGAAAGCGACGGUUUGCUAAACCGUUAAGGGUGUCAAAGCCCUUCGGGGGUUCGAAUCCCCCCCUCUCCG